ACAAGCAGCGGAGCGUGUGGUUUAAUCGAUGUUACACGAAGAACCUUACCAGGGUUUGACAUGCAAGUGGUAGGAAGCCGAAAGGUGACCGACCCUUCGGGGAGCUUGCACAGGUGCUGCAUGGCUGUCGUCAGCUCGUGUCGUGAGAUGUUCGGUUAAGUCCGCUAACGAGCGCAACCCUCGCUGUGUGUUAUAUGUGUCACACGGGACUGCCGGUCUUAAGCCGGAGGAAGGUGGGGAUGACGUCAAGUCCUCAUGGCCCUUAUAGGUGGGGCUACACACGUCAUACAAUGGCUGGUACAAAGGGUUGCCAACCCGCGAGGGGGAGCCAAUCCCAUAAAGCCAGUCGUAGUCCGGAUCGUAGUCUGCAACUCGACUACGUGAAGUCGGAAUCGCUAGUAAUCGUGGAUCAGAAUGUCACGGUGAAUACGUUCCCGGGUCUU
This 443-nucleotide ribosomal RNA is filed under the name uncultured Leptolinea sp. Its description in RNAcentral is "bacterial SSU rRNA". It matches the Rfam family "Bacterial small subunit ribosomal RNA", at positions 925 to 1382 of the family's 1533-position model. The record is from RNAcentral. Lineage: Bacteria; Bacillati; Chloroflexota; Anaerolineae; Anaerolineales; Anaerolineaceae.